Long non-coding RNA from Hyla sarda, 1156 nucleotides. RefSeq lists it as uncharacterized. The transcript is spliced from 3 exons. The record is from RefSeq and is a predicted model, not a curated record. NCBI's taxonomy places the organism in Eukaryota, Metazoa, Chordata, Amphibia, Anura, Hylidae.
AAAGAGAAAGAAGCAAUCUGAUUGGUUGAUAUGGGCAACUGGGCAACUUUUCCUCUGGACAGCUUUGGAAAAAUCUCCGUCAGAGAGAGAGAGACACAGAAAAUAAGAUAUCCACAACAUCAAGGCUGUAGCAAGUUGAUUUGUUACCGAGCCCAAUUUGUGUAGCUGUUGAACAACAUGACAAUGCUAGGAGGAGACGUAGAAGACCACAUAGAUGGCAGCGGCACUUUGGUCCAUGAUUAACUUUGGAUAAUUUCUUAGAAGAGGAGGUUCAUCGUUCUUUCCGUUCAAAUAAGCCAGCCAUUUUGGAGCUUAUGCAGCAAAUAGGAGAACAAAUUGAGCCACAAACACAACGCUCACAUGCCGUUACAGGACUAACCAAACUACUUUCAGUACUAUAUUUUUUAAGCACUGGAAUAUAUCAACAUUGUUUGAACUCCAGAUUUGGCAUAAGUCAACCUUCUUUUUCCAGAAUCCUAGGUCAGGUGCUGCAAAGUAUGCUGCGAGUGGGCGCAUCAUUACAUCACGUUCCCUGAAACACCACAGGAACUUCAAAGUUAGAAAGAGGCCAUUUUCAGAAUUGCAGGCAUGCCCAAUAUUGUUGAUUUGAUCGAUUGCACGCAUGUGGCACUAAUACCACCAGCAAGAUCCGAAAGAGCAUAUCGCAAUAGAAAAAUGUAUCGGACCAUUAAUGUACAAAUAGUCGUGGGUCCAUACAUGAAUAUUAUCGAUAUAGUUCCCAACUACCCUGGAUCAUGCCAUCAUGCUUUUAUCCUACGAAAUACGGAGAUUUAUUCGAGAUUUGAAAGAGACGUGUAUUGAGAUUCAUGUAUCUUAGGUGACAAUGGAUACCAGCUUUGUCGCUGGCUACUAACGCCAUAUUUGAAUCCACAAUCUAGAGCAGAAGAACGCUUUAAUCGGUCACAUAAAAGAACAAGAUCCAUGAUCGAGCGGACAAUUGGGCUACUGAAAAGCAGAUUUCGAUGUCUGGACAUCACAGGGGGUGCUUUGUUAUAUAAAUUAAGCUUUGUUAUGAAAUUAUAAUCGUAUGCAGUAUUCUCCAUAAUAUUGCCCAAAAACAUAACCUGCCUGAUGAUGUUGCCGAUGAUUUAAAGGGGUACUCCCGUGGAAACCUUUUUAUUUUUUUAUUUUUUUU